RNAcentral lists this ribosomal RNA (253 nucleotides) under uncultured bacterium. RNAcentral describes it as "partial 16S ribosomal RNA". It matches the Rfam family "Bacterial small subunit ribosomal RNA", at positions 524 to 776 of the family's 1533-position model. The record is from RNAcentral.
UACGAAGGGGGCUAGCGUUGUUCGGAAUCACUGGGCGUAAAGCGCACGUAGGCGGAUUGUUAAGUCAGGGGUGAAAUCCUGGAGCUCAACUCCAGAACUGCCUUUGAUACUGGCGAUCUUGAGUCCGGGAGAGGUGAGUGGAACUGCGAGUGUAGAGGUGAAAUUCGUAGAUAUUCGCAAGAACACCAGUGGCGAAGGCGGCUCACUGGCCCGAUACUGACGCUGAGGCACGAAAGCGUGGGGAGCAAACAGG